Molecule: ribosomal RNA, 283 nt
Filed under: Gaevskajatrema sp. IMEE-2020
Lineage: Eukaryota; Metazoa; Platyhelminthes; Trematoda; Plagiorchiida; Opecoelidae
Description: partial 18S ribosomal RNA
Rfam family: Eukaryotic small subunit ribosomal RNA
Source: RNAcentral
AUAACUGUAGUAAUUCUAGAGCUAAUACUUGCAAACUAUGCCCUGACCCGCGAGGGAACGGGUGCAUUUAUUAGAACAGAACCAACCGGGUCGUGGCUUCGGCCGCGUCCGUCUUGCUCUGUGAUGACUCUGGAUAACUUUACCGAUCGCAGUCGGCCUUGUGUCGGCGAUGGAUCUUUCAAAUGUCUGUCUUAUCAAUUUUCGAUGGUAGGUGACCUGCCUACCACGGUGAUAACGGGUGAACGGGGAAUCAGGGUUCGAUUCCGGAGAGGGAGCCUGAGAG